AUGCUAGAGACACGGAGCGCCUUGUACUCUCUGGUAGAGGAGACAUGCCCAAAAGCACAGGACUCAAAAUGGCAGAGCCUUUUCCCCUCUAGCUCAUGCUCCAAUUCCUCUGAGAAGCCCAACGGCAAGGCGAUAGUAGCUCCAGUGGCCGGGUUGAGCACCCAGAAGGCCCGAGAGCAGACAACCCAGCUCAAACAGAUGAGGUCCAGCCGCGUGCGCACAACACGGAUGCUGUCGAACAUCAGAUCAGAUUUGUACUUGGUAUUCGGAAUCCGCUUCACCACGUUGCCCGACAGAUCCAAAAUCUCGACAACGUUGUGA
This 321-nucleotide ribosomal RNA is filed under the name Triticum aestivum (bread wheat). RNAcentral describes it as "partial small subunit ribosomal RNA". Lineage: Eukaryota; Viridiplantae; Streptophyta; Magnoliopsida; Poales; Poaceae. The record is from RNAcentral.